CCUACGGGNGGCNGCAGUUUCGAAUCAUUCACAAUGGGCGAAAGCCUGAUGGUGCGACGCCGCGUGAGGGAUGAAGGUCUUCGGAUUGUAAACCUCUGUCACUGGGGAGAAAACGCUUUGAGUUAACAGUUCAAAGCCUGAUUUAACCGGGAGAGGAAGCAGUGGCUAACUCUGUGCCAGNAGNNNCGGUNA
This 192-nucleotide ribosomal RNA is filed under the name uncultured eubacterium ONG8. RNAcentral's name for it is "partial 16S rRNA". It matches the Rfam family "Bacterial small subunit ribosomal RNA", at positions 338 to 523 of the family's 1533-position model. The record is from RNAcentral.